This 216-nucleotide ribosomal RNA is filed under the name Triticum aestivum (bread wheat). RNAcentral's name for it is "partial small subunit ribosomal RNA". Lineage: Eukaryota; Viridiplantae; Streptophyta; Magnoliopsida; Poales; Poaceae. The record is from RNAcentral.
AUGUUCCAGAAUUACCAGAAUGGAGAGCAAUCUUACAUUCAUAUUGGCUGUUCGACACACUGUUUGUCCAUCUCUUGUGACCAUGAAUAUGAUGAUUCCACUGUUUCCUGCAUUCGCAUGGAUAGAUACUUCCAGUUGAAGUACAACAGUAGAAAGGUGCGUGCUCUGUACCUAGAUGUGAGUUGUUGCAGUCGUCUCCCGCGUGUUUUCCUGUAA